ACGGAAGGCAGCAGUGGGGAAUAUUGCACAAUGGGCGGAAGCCUGAUGCAGCGACGCCGCGUGAGUGAAGAAGUUAUUCGUAACGUAAAGCUCUAUCAGCAGGGAAGAAAAUGACGGUACCUGACUAAGAAGCCCCGGCUAACUACGUGCCAGCAGCCGCGGUAAUACGUAGGGGGCAAGCGUUAUCCGGAUUUACUGGGUGUAAAGGGAGCGUAGACGGCAUGGCAAGUCUGAAGUGAAAUCCCGGGGCUCAACCCUGGAACUGCUUUGGAAACUGUCAAGCUAGAGUGCAGGAGAGGUAAGCGGAAUUCCUAGUGUAGCGGUGAAAUGCGUAGAUAUUAGGAGGAACACCAGUGGCGAAGGCGGCUUACUGGACUGUAACUGACGUUGAGGCUCGAAAGCGUGGGGAGCAAACAGGAUUAGAUACCCUGGUA
RNAcentral lists this ribosomal RNA (434 nucleotides) under uncultured Clostridium sp. RNAcentral's name for it is "partial 16S ribosomal RNA". It matches the Rfam family "Bacterial small subunit ribosomal RNA", at positions 341 to 792 of the family's 1533-position model. The record is from RNAcentral. Lineage: Bacteria; Bacillati; Bacillota; Clostridia; Eubacteriales; Clostridiaceae.